Canis lupus familiaris (dog) is the source of this 736-nucleotide long non-coding RNA. RefSeq lists it as uncharacterized. The record is from RefSeq and is a predicted model, not a curated record. NCBI's taxonomy places the organism in Eukaryota, Metazoa, Chordata, Mammalia, Carnivora, Canidae. The transcript is spliced from 3 exons.
GGGCAUGGCACUUCAGGGGUGUCUCCUAUGCUGUUGUAUGUGCUCUGCUGUUGAGUCUUAGCCUCUUUUUCAUUUAGUCUAGUUGUCUUCAAAGGCUCUCUUUGUCUGUUGUGAGCAGUAUUUGGUCUCCAGCCGAAAUGGAGCAUAUUUUAACAAGGUAUGCAGUGGUCUGCUUGCAAAAUAAGACCUGCCCUUGUCACCACCAGAAUUGAGGCUCUUCACAAUGUGCCGGUCAGAAGAUGUAGUAUUGUCAGGGUUUGCACAGAUCUUCUGGGGAAUGGGCCAGCAGCACAUUGACUUCCCACUUGAAAGAUGAGAAUUUUAGUCCCUUAGUCCACCUCCUCUUAUGACAAAAAGAAGAUUUAGUGACUUGAAGUAACUUAUAUAAAUUCUCAGAACUAGUUAAAGAGCAAAGUAGGAAUCCAAAUCUACAUGCCCAAGUUCUUAACCAUUAUACAGCACUGCCUUUUCAAGUAUGCUGCUCUCUUCCCUUUUUCUCUAUGUCUCUAAGUUCCACUCUCCUUCACUGGUGCCCAGGACAAAGGUCACCAUGAUCCAUAUAUCUUGUGUGAAGAUGACCAUAGUCAACUGUAGCAAAGUCAUAUAACUCCUCUAUUAUUGGACUUCUCAAAUCACUCUAAGAAAAAGAUGAUUUCAAAUCCAGCCACAGGAGCCUUGCCUGAUACAGAAUUUUUCUCUUGAUUAUCAAGUAAAUUCUAAAAAAGAAGGAAAUACA